Molecule: transfer RNA, 71 nt
Filed under: Loxodonta africana (African savanna elephant)
Lineage: Eukaryota; Metazoa; Chordata; Mammalia; Proboscidea; Elephantidae
Rfam family: tRNA
About the family: Transfer RNA (tRNA) molecules are approximately 80 nucleotides in length. Their secondary structure includes four short double-helical elements and three loops (D, anti-codon, and T loops).
Source: Rfam by way of RNAcentral
GCUGUGGUGGCUCAGUGGUGGAAUUCUUGCCUUCCAUGCAGGAGACCCAGGUUCGAUUCCCAGCCAGUGCA